Molecule: transfer RNA, 89 nt
Filed under: Corynebacterium variabile
Lineage: Bacteria; Bacillati; Actinomycetota; Actinomycetes; Mycobacteriales; Corynebacteriaceae
Description: tRNA-Sec
Source: RNAcentral
CGACGAUGGACGAGGAGUUCGGCGGCUUCAGCCUCCCGGCCACGAUCUACCGGGCGGCGUUCCUCUGGUUCCAGGCCGCGAACGUCGGC